AACGAACGCUGGCGGCAGGCUUAACACAUGCAAGUCGAGCGCCCCGCAAGGGGAGCGGCAGACGGGUGAGUAACGCGUGGGAAUCUACCCAUCUCUACGGAAUAACUCAGGGAAACUUGUGCUAAUACCGUAUACGCCCUUCGGGGGAAAGAUUUAUCGGAGAUGGAUGAGCCCGCGUUGGAUUAGCUAGUUGGUGGGGUAAUGGCCUACCAAGGCGACGAUCCAUAGCUGGUCUGAGAGGAUGAUCAGCCACACUGGGACUGAGACACGGCCCAGACUCCUACGGGAGGCAGCAGUGGGGAAUAUUGGACAAUGGGCGCAAGCCUGAUCCAGCCAUGCCGCGUGAGUGAUGAAGGCCCUAGGGUUGUAAAGCUCUUUCACCGGUGAAGAUAAUGACGGUAACCGGAGAAGAAGCCCCGGCUAACUUCGUGCCAGCAGCCGCGGUAAUACGAAGGGGGCUAAGCGUUGUUCGGAAUUACUGGGCGUAAAGCGCACGUAGGCGGAUAUUUAAGUUAGGGGUGAAAUCCCAGGGCUCAACCCUGGAACUGCCUCUAAUACUGGGUAUCUCGAGUCCGAGAGAGGUGAGUGGAAUUCCGAGUGUAGAGGUGAAAUUCGUAGAUAUUCGGAGGAACACCAGUGGCNNAAGGCGGGCUCACUUGGCCCCGAUACUGACGCUGAGGCACGAAAGCGUGGGGAGCAAACAGGAUUAGAUACCCCUGGUAGUCCANAGCNUNNAGCNCAGGUNNUGCAUGNCUGUNGUCAGNUNGUGUNGUAGAUGUUGGGUUAAGUCCCGCANCGAGCGCAACCCCCGUCCUUAGUUGNUACCAUUUAGUUGAGCACUCUAAGGAGACUGCCGGUGAUAAGCCGCGAGGAAGGUGGGGAUGACGUCAAGUCCUCAUGGCCCUUACGGGCUGGGCUACACACGUGCUACAAUGGCGGUGACAAUGGGAUGCAAAAGGGCAACCUCUAGCAAAUCUCAAAAAGCCGUCUCAGUUCGGAUUGGGCUCUGCAACUCGAGCCCAUGAAGUUGGAAUCGCUAGUAAUCGUGGAUCAGCAUGCCACGGUGAAUACGUUCCCGGGCCUUGUACACACCGCCCGUCACACCAUGGGAGUUGGUUUUACCUGAAGGCGGUGCGCUAACCCGCAAGGGAGGCAGCCGACCACGGUAGGGUCAGCGACUGGGGUGAAGUCGUAACAAGGUAACC
RNAcentral lists this ribosomal RNA (1205 nucleotides) under uncultured bacterium. Its description in RNAcentral is "partial 16S ribosomal RNA". It matches the Rfam family "Bacterial small subunit ribosomal RNA". The record is from RNAcentral.